AUCAUUUCCGGGUUUAUCGGAAAUGAUCCUUCUUUUCGGAAAUGACACUUUGCUUGGAAAUGAUACUUCGAGGGCGAAUAUUUUACCAAGUCCUUGCCUCGGGUGACUCAUGAUCUCUCCUUGGGCGAUUCGGAAGCUGACUGGCGUUUGGCUCGGAUAUCGGAGAGACGCGAGCCGGGCUUCCGAAGAGAAUUGGCUCGGGUAUCAACAAAGAAUAGUUCGGAGAUAACCGGCUCGGGAAUCCGGAGAUAACUGGCUCGGGUAUUCGAAGGGAGCCGGCUCGGGUUCCCGAGCUUGCUAGCAGAUACCCG
This 311-nucleotide long non-coding RNA is filed under the name Arabidopsis lyrata. RNAcentral describes it as "long non-coding RNA (ALYR_LNC003371)". Lineage: Eukaryota; Viridiplantae; Streptophyta; Magnoliopsida; Brassicales; Brassicaceae. The record is from RNAcentral.